Molecule: RNA transcript, 4358 nt
Organism: Brachypodium distachyon (stiff brome)
Lineage: Eukaryota; Viridiplantae; Streptophyta; Magnoliopsida; Poales; Poaceae
Gene name: ubiquitin carboxyl-terminal hydrolase 2
Exons: 5
Source: RefSeq, a predicted model, not a curated record
CAGCCCCCUCGCUCGUCUUCCUCCUCGCGCCAGCGCCGCCACCGCCACCGCCGGUUGGUCUCCCCUUCGAUUCUCUCGCUCCCGACCGUUUCUCCUCCAGUCACCCCACGAAACGGAUUCCGCCCUUUAGCUCCCCGUUUCAUCUCCUUAGUUCCCGUGGUACGCUCGGCAAACCAACUAGAUCCGCUGCUCGCGUUCACACCGGAUUCUUGUGUUUCAGAAGGGAUGGGGAAGAAGCUGAAGACCAAAGCCAAGAAAGCGCAGCAGCGGGAACCGCUGGCCGCUGCUGGAUCCGGCGAUGCGGGGUUGCAGGAAGCGAGUAACUCAACAGAGGAAGCGGCUGUGUCAGCCAGCGACUGGCAGCAGUGCGGCCACUACGGGCGUGACAGUCCCCACUUGGACAAGGUCCUCCGGGAGAUCAUGUCUUCCAAGCAUCUCGCUUCGUGCGAGCAUUGCCGAGAGGAUGCCCCACGGAAGAAAGGCGGUAAGCAACAGAAGAAGAAAGGAGGUGGAGGUGCUGCCAAGGCGCAGGCAAAGGUCGAGAAGAGUGAUAUGUGGAUCUGCUUGGACUGCGGUCGGCAUUUCUGUGGUGGUGCGGUGUCUGAGACCAAGCCAUACGGCCAUGCCAGAAGGCAUGCCAAGCAAGACAGGCAUUGGUGGGCUGCACGGUAUGAUGAACCAACUGUUGCAUAUUGCUUGUCAUGUGAAAAUAAGGUGUCUAUCGAGAUGCCUAUAGUAGAUACAGUUGUGCCAGCUCCAGCUGAUGAUAAGGUGUUUGGUGCAGUAGAUAGCAAUGCACUAGUUUUGGCUAAUUGCCAUGGUAAUGUGAUUAGAGGGCUGCCAAAUCUUGGAAACACAUGCUUCUUCAAUGCGGUGCUCCAGAGCCUCCUCGCACUUGAUAGGUUGCGCAGCAAGAUGUCAGGACCAGAUGUUCCAGCAGGAGCCCUUGCAAUGUUACUGAAGAAGCUCUUUUUGGAAACCAGUGCUUCAAAUGAUGCAGGAGGUGCACUUAGCGUGAAGAGCCUCUUCUCAAGUAUUUGCUCAAAGUAUCCGCAGUUUAGAGGCUACCAGAUGCAGGACAGCCAUGAGUUACUCCGUUGUUUUCUUGAUGGUUUGCGCACGGAGGAAACUGAAGCACGGAAGCUACUGGAGGAUGCUUCCAAUUCAGGGGCUCCUACAAUUGUUGAUUCCAUCUUUGGGGGUCAGCUGUCUAGUACUGUGUCCAGCACAGAGUGCACACACGGGUCUGUUAAACAUGACCAAUUCCUUGAUCUAUCACUACCUGUUCCAUCAAGGAGGCCUCCAGCCAAGAGUGUUUCAUCACCACCAGCCAAGAGAACCAAGCAGUCUAUACGAGAUAGGAACAAAAAUCGCAGAUAUGGGAAGAUAACUACCACCAGAAUAUCUCCUACAAUAGUGGAGAAUAGCAAAGAAAAAGCUGAAACAGUUGCUGAAUGCAAUGAUUCUCAGAUUCUGGGUUCAGAACUGGGACAGAUUGUCAGUGAGAAAGAGCCUGAGCCCUCUGAGGGCAGUGAGUCAUGCGCUUCUGUUCCCAAACAAGAACUGAAUGCUGCUUCAUAUGUGGAGGAUGACAUUUCCUGGUUAGAUUUUGUUGCUGAUGCAGAUGAAACAAAGUCUGAGAUUCUUGAUUCUGUGUGUUCUACUGAAGCAGGACAGAUCUGGGACAGGAAUGGUGAGAUGCAUGGUUCAUAUGACACUCGAGAUGAUACUUUGCCCAAAGAGAAGGUCAUGAGUUCCGAGCACUCAUGUGAGAACAUCGUUGAUGAUGCAGCUUGUUCACAGCCUGUUAUCUUGCUUCCUUACAAAGAAUUUUGUACAACGGCCGACGAAAUUUGUGAAACUGUAAGAAGCUCACAGUGUCCAAAAGAUGUUGGUCCUGCUCCAGACAUUUCUCCAGUAACAGAAAAUAAUACACAUCCUGUAUCUGGUGGAAAUGGAGAACAAGAUGACUAUAUUGGUCUUGGUGAUAUGUUUAAUGAGCCUGAAGUAACUUCUGAAGCUAAGAAAGAAACUACAGCUGGAGUUAUUGAUGUCAUGGCUUGGAGUAGCAACAGUGCUGAUGAUGAGGUGGAUGAUAGUAAUGCUCUCGUAUCAGUUGAGGGCUGCUUAGCUUUGUAUACUGAGCCAGAACUGCUAUCUGAGUUGUGGCAUUGUGAGCACUGUUCUAGCGCUGUUGCACGCCCAAAUACCAACGAAGGAAAAGAGGGUGACGAGAUGGUGGCUAGUGCUAGUGACAGAAAGGACAGUGAGAAAAUGAUGGCAAGUGGCGAUGCAAGACAAGGUGGUGAUAAGGUUACCGCAAACUGCAGCAAAAAGGAGGAUAUUGGUCAGAUUAUGACAACUGAUGGUUGCUCUGACAAUGUAGACCCUGACUUGUGCUGUAACAAAUGGGAGUGUGCAAAUCCUGAUGCUGAAAACACCUCUAAUGGUAAUUCUCCAGACACUAGAAAUGGUACUUUACUGAAUACAGUGUUUACUGUUGAUGCGAUUGAACAGCCAGACAGUAAACAUGAUGGGCAUACCGUGGAUAUAGCUGCUGAAGAAGCAAGUGCACCAGUGAGUUGUGGUGAUAAUGACCCUGCCUCUUCCAGUACUACUAUAGACAGAAUGGUUGAGUCUGGUGCCAAUGCUGAAGAAGUUGUGACUAGUAGCCUUCCAUCGCAGACACAAACCAUCUUACCGAGUGUCAAAGAUAAUGAAGAUGUCAUCACGAGGAAUAUGGGCAGGGGGAAGCGAAUGAAGAUGGCUGGCAGGGCACACAAAGGGCAAGAUAACCAAAAUAAACAGAAAGAGGAUGAAACAAAAGUUUUCAGAGCUGCAAUGAGAAGAAUUCUUAUCAGCAAGGCACCACCUGUAUUGACGAUUACUUUGAACAGAUUCAGCCAAGACCCCCAUGGCCGGUUCAAGAAAUUGAAAGGGCAUGUGUGCUUUAAGGAGAUGCUCGAUGUACGGUCAUUCAUAGACCCAAGAUCUAAGGAGAGUGACAACACCACUUAUCGGCUAGUUGCUGUUGUCGAGCACAUGGGAACCAUGACAGGAGGGCAUUAUGUUGCAUAUGUAAGAUCUGGCAAGAUAGGGGGUCGGCAGCAGCAGAGCCGCGCCUCCAAGUCUUGGUUUUAUGCAAGCGAUGCACAAGUCAGAGAAGCCUCUCUGGAGGAGGUUCUUAACUGUGAGGCUUACAUUCUUUUUUACGAAAGGGUGGCUGAGUAAGAUAAUUUGUCUGGUGCCUACUCAUGGAUCAGGGAGCAAUUAGGACAAGAUUUAUGGCAAGCAGACGGUGAGAAACAACAAUUUGUUUGGACAGAGAGUGGCUCUCAGUUGAAGAGAAUUUUGCAAGUGGGCUUGAACAGCUAUUCUGUUCAUACUGCCCACAGUCAUUUUUUGGGGUUAUUUUGAGAGCAUAUAUGGAGGUGCUUCAUACAGAUCUUGACAAGGGCUUCGUUCAGUGUCGUCAGUUGUUAUUGCUCUGCUAACGAAUCAUGAACGGCAGGCUAAGGAGAAGCCUGGUGCAAACCACAGUCACACCAUAAGAGGCUUUUGGUGGUUGCCCGUUUGUUAUCUCAGAUGGCUGAACUAGUCAUGAAGGAAGCAGUGUAUCCUUUCUUUUGUUCCCUUUUUUCUGUUGUCUUCUUAUGCACAGAAAUAAGUCAAGGUGUACUCCAGAUUUAUCAAUCCAGUAUGAGACUGUUGGACUUGUUAGUCAAGGUUCACAAUUUAGUCACUCGAAACGGAGAUAAUUUGUGUGGAACAGAACCUGUGGCAACAAUGACGGGCCCUUGAUAUACAUCUUUGGAGGAGGCACUGGAUAGAGGGAAAUGCUAUACCUUAAACAAUACCCACUUACAUGUGGGGUAUCAUUCCUUCUGGCCCAUAAAUCAGUGAGUGCCAAUAGCCCCUAGCUAGUCUCUGACAGAAGAUUCUAAAGCAUCACUGCACUGCUAGUACUAAUUAUAUUUUUGAGCAACGACUACCACCAUCUGACACGAGGGCAUGCAAUAGUGGGAUCCUUGCAACCAUUAGAUUACCAAGUCCAAAGGUACUUGCAUCUAACCUGCAGUUCCAAACUCUAUAGUGGUAAAGAUUGUUAGAGCAUACCUCCAGUUGCCUAUCCAGAAGUUCUGAUGACACUUAUGUAACAUCUCCAUGUCUCUUACGGCAGAUGACAUUUGACAAAACACUUACGACUGCAUUUGAGAUAUGUAAUUUAACGGUGGACUAGUAGUGUUUAGCAUGAUAUUUUGGUAUCACAUCCGUCCCGAAAUAAGUAACGUGGAUUUGUAUAUAAUGGUCACUUGUUUCUGGACGGAUAGAAAUUCUAAUGCUGCAUUUGUGACAGA